UAUUUGUAGAAGUUUCUCUGUGUAGAGGAG
RNAcentral lists this non-coding RNA (30 nucleotides) under Homo sapiens (human). Lineage: Eukaryota; Metazoa; Chordata; Mammalia; Primates; Hominidae. The record is from RNAcentral.